UUCUUUGCUUCAAACCAUCAAUAUUUUAGGAAAAUGAUGAAGAUUUGAGGAGGAGAAAAAGGGCGAAAUUGGUUUGUUGCUGCUAAUGUUCGUCGGUGAAAUGAAAAGAAAAGAUGAAUGAAAUGAAGAGCUGGGAAAAAAAAGAAGUUGAUGGGUUGAAAAUUGGAUCUGUGUGCACACACGCGAAGGCGCCGUUUCUCAAACCCUCGCCUGAUCAUGUUGUUAACUCUCGAUUGUCCCGGAAACCACCUUGCUUUGUAUGUUGACAUACGAGGUGUAUGUUAUCCGGGGAUCGGAAUACAAGCUUAUACGGGUCAAGAAAAGUCAACUCCGGCCUUAAGAACAACAAACCAAGAAGGCAAAGCCUUAUCCUACACUACACUCUACCUAUCCUACACCACCUCAUCUCACCUUCCUUGCCAGCCUGCUCCAACCCAACAACACCAAGCAAUCACCCCCCUGCAACACGCUACACCACACAACAGCCACCGCAACAGCUCUCCCCUCCCAACGCUGCAAACCACCGUUCACCAACUCCUCCAUCUCUCAGCCAUCAUCGCCACCCAACCAUACAACACCAACAUUCGCAACACUCCAACAACGCAGCAGCAACCGCCGAGCACAACCAGUGCCAAAACCGCAACCAAAUCAGCCCAAAAAGUCACACAAAACAGAGAAAAGAACAAAGCAAAAACAGAGAAAUUAGUUUGGUCGAACCCGAAUUAAGUUCGACCGAACCGAAAAUUUAGAGUUCCUGCAAGUCUGAGGUCCGGCCGAACCUCCAUUGAGUUUGGUCGAAUAUUUGAGUGCGUUUGGUUGUACGGAAUUAAUGAAGCUCGACGGCUACAAUUAAUUGAAAAUCGAGCAGCGAAUUUGGUCCUUCGGAAUGAUUGACGGUCGAUAAUGAUGAUCGACGGUGAGGCGAUGAUGAUUGAUUCUGAUCCGUUGAUGAGGAUUAAAGAUGAUGCGAUUUUGAUGAUUGACGGUGAAGAUUGUGUUGGAAAUUCUCAUUGGGAAACACAAAGAAAAAAAGGGUGAGUGAAAAUUCAAGAGUCCCACAUUGGAAAAACUCUUCAUAUUCCUCUUGUUUAUUAAUUGGGGAAUGAGUGUAACUCUUGUUUAAGAAAGUGUGAGAAUGGUAUGGGUGGACACAUCACACACGCGCGCGCGCCGGGCCGGGCGCGGGCCGUGGGCCUUGGGCCGUGG
Molecule: long non-coding RNA, 1206 nt
Organism: Spinacia oleracea (spinach)
Lineage: Eukaryota; Viridiplantae; Streptophyta; Magnoliopsida; Caryophyllales; Amaranthaceae
Exons: 3
Source: RefSeq, a predicted model, not a curated record